Molecule: ribosomal RNA, 400 nt
Filed under: uncultured bacterium
Lineage: Bacteria
Description: bacterial SSU rRNA
Rfam family: Bacterial small subunit ribosomal RNA
Source: RNAcentral
GGGGAAUAUUGCACAAUGGGGGAAACCCUGAUGCAGCAACGCCGCGUGGAGGAUGACGCAUUUCGGUGUGUAAACUCCUUUUAUAAGGGAAGAUAAUGACGGUACCUUAUGAAUAAGCACCGGCUAACUCCGUGCCAGCAGCCGCGGUAAUACGGAGGGUGCAAGCGUUACUCGGAAUCACUGGGCGUAAAGGAUGCGUAGGCUGUAAUAUAAGUCAGAAGUGAAAUCCAACGGCUUAACCGUUGAACUGCUUUUGAAACUGUUUUACUAGAAUAUGGGAGAGGUAGAUGGAAUUGGUGGUGUAGGGGUAAAAUCCGUAGAUAUCACCAGGAAUACCGAUUGCGAAGGCGAUCUACUGGAACAUUAUUGACGCUGAGGCAUGAAAGCGUGGGGAGCAAAC